RNAcentral lists this long non-coding RNA (754 nucleotides) under Prunus persica (peach). RNAcentral describes it as "long non-coding RNA (PPER_LNC000197)". Lineage: Eukaryota; Viridiplantae; Streptophyta; Magnoliopsida; Rosales; Rosaceae. The record is from RNAcentral.
UGAGGGUGACCCUGAGUUACUUGUUUACAUUCCGUGAGUAUCCACUUUUGUUGUUUUAUGUGUUGUCUUCAGGACAUGAGUUAAAGUAUGCAUAAACAUGAAAUGGAUAGGGACAGGGAGAUCCAUUGGUUGACUAGUUGUACCCAUUUUUCCAUAUUUUCAUUCGAUUUCAAUGGUAACAUGUUUGUUAGAUCUCCAUAGUCGGAUCUGUAUGAGUUUGAGUAUGGGAUUCAACCUUAGUAGCAUCUCCAGGUUCACCUAAAACAAACAUAACACUUAAUAGUGAGUUUGACGGGAUACUGUUGGACUACUCAGGGCAACGUGCCAUGCCUGAAACCUUGGAAAUUGGCAGAGGUGGGGUUGGCCCAUUCGUAACUAGUGUCUUGUGGGGGGGAAGGGAUUGGGUGAAUAUAGUGUUUUCUAAUUGAUGUUGUAUAUGAACCAAUGCAGGCUGCAUCCCUCAAAGAAAAGAUUAACCGAAUGUUUGGUGGAGAGCAUGUACGUUUCAAGUUUAUCUUCCUUUGGUCGAGUAUUAUGUGGAUAAAUAUGGAAUUAAAAUGCUAAUUUAAACACUUUUUAUCUGCAAUCAGCAAGAAGUGUUUCCUAUUUUUUUUUUUUUUAAAUUUAUUUUUCGGAUCUGGGGAAGGGAUUAAAAUUUGGAACCUCUUCCAACAAAGUGGAGAUAACUACCAGUAUAACAAUAGCUAGCUGGUGUCUCCUAAUUAAAAUUAGGACGCCCAAAUUUCUGACCUUU